UGGGGAAUUGUUCACAAUGGGCGCAAGCCUGAUGACGCAACGCCGCGUGGGGGAUGAAGGUCUUCGGAUUGUAAACCCCUGUCGAAUGGGACGAAAGACUCGCGAGUUAAUACUUCGCGGGAGUGACGGUACCGUUAAAGGAAGCCACGGCUAACUCUGUGCCAGCAGCCGCGGUAAUACAGAGGGUGCGAGCGUUGUCCGGAAUCACUGGGCGUAAAGGGCGCGUAGGCGGCCCGGUAAGUAGGGGGUGAAAUCUCAUGGCUCAACUGUGAGGCUGCCUUCUAGACUGCCAGGCUUGAGCACAGUAGAGGCGAGUGGAAUUCCCGGUGUAGCGGUGGAAUGCGUAGAGAUCGGGAAGAACAUCGGUGGCGAAGGCGGCUCGCUGGGCUGUUGCUGACGCUGAGGCGCGAAAGCGUGGGGAGCAAACGGGAUUAGAUACCCUGGUAGUCCCUGAGCGGGCUGGCAAGGCGCAU
This 473-nucleotide ribosomal RNA is filed under the name uncultured bacterium. Its description in RNAcentral is "bacterial SSU rRNA". It matches the Rfam family "Bacterial small subunit ribosomal RNA", at positions 355 to 825 of the family's 1533-position model. The record is from RNAcentral.